This 393-nucleotide ribosomal RNA is filed under the name uncultured bacterium. Its description in RNAcentral is "partial 16S ribosomal RNA". It matches the Rfam family "Bacterial small subunit ribosomal RNA", at positions 523 to 918 of the family's 1533-position model. The record is from RNAcentral.
AUACGGAAGGUCCGGGCGUUAUCCGGAUUUAUUGGGUUUAAAGGGAGCGCAGGCGGCACUUCAAGCGUGACGUUAAAUUUCGGGGCUCACCCCCGUUUUGCGUCGCGAACUGUUGUGCUUGAGUAGGCGGCAGGGAGGCGGAAUUCGCGGGGUAGCGGGUAAAUGCUUAGAUAUCGCGAGGAACUCCGAUAGCGCAGGCUGCCUCGUGUUGCUUUGCUGACGCUCAUGCUCGAAGGUGCGGGUAUCGAACAGGAUUAGAUCCCCUGGUAGUCCGCGCUGUAAACGAUGGAUGCCCGCUGUUGGGCCUUUUGGGUUCAGUGGCCAAGAGAAAUCGUUAAGCAUCCCGCCUGGGGAGUACGCCGGCAACGGUGAAACUCAAAGGAAUUGACGGGG